CGGGUAUGCCGAGAGGUGAAAGGUUAACUGCCUGGAGAUGAGCUCGCGUCUGAUUAGCUAGUUGGUGGUGUAAGGGACUACCAAGGCGACGAUCAGUAGCUGGUCUGAGAGGAUGAUCAGCCACACUGGAACUGAGACACGGUCCAGACUCCUACGGGAGGCAGCAGUGGGGAAUUUUCCGCAAUGGGCGAAAGCCUGACGGAGCAAUACCGCGUGAGGGAGGAAGGCUCUUGGGUUGUAAACCUCUUUUCUCAGGGAAUAAGCAAGUGAAGGUACCUGAGGAAUCAGCAUCGGCUAACUCCGUGCCAGCAGCCGCGGUAAUACGGAGGAUGCAAGCGUUAUCCGGAAUGAUUGGGCGUAAAGCGUCCGUAGGUGGCUGUGUGUGUCUAUUGUUAAAGAGUUUGGCUCAACCAAAUAAGGGCGGUAGAAACUACACAGCUAGAGUGCGUUCGGGGCAGAGGGAAUUCCUGGUGUAGCGGUGAAAUGCGUAGAGAUCAGGAAGAACACCGGUGGCGAAAGCGCUCUGCUAGGCCGCAACUGACACUGAGGGACGAAAGCUAGGGGAGCGAAUGGGAUUAGAUCCCCCUUUUUUUAAAAA
This 598-nucleotide ribosomal RNA is filed under the name Hapalosiphon welwitschii AUS-JR/BS/MS/NT-076. RNAcentral describes it as "bacterial SSU rRNA". It matches the Rfam family "Bacterial small subunit ribosomal RNA", at positions 184 to 806 of the family's 1533-position model. Lineage: Bacteria; Bacillati; Cyanobacteriota; Cyanophyceae; Nostocales; Hapalosiphonaceae. The record is from RNAcentral.